RNAcentral lists this ribosomal RNA (305 nucleotides) under uncultured bacterium. Its description in RNAcentral is "bacterial SSU rRNA". It matches the Rfam family "Bacterial small subunit ribosomal RNA", at positions 337 to 659 of the family's 1533-position model. The record is from RNAcentral.
GCCUACGGGGGGCAGCAGUAGGGAAUAUUGCUCAAUGGGGGAAACCCUGAAGCAGCAACGCCGCGUGGAGGAUGAAGGUUUUCGGAUUGUAAACUCCUUUUGUUAAAGAAGAUAAUGACGGUAUCUAACGAAUAAGCACCGGCUAACUCCGUGCCAGCAGCCGCGGUAAUACGGAGGGUGCAAGCGUUACUCGGAAUUACUGGGCGUAAAGAGCACGUAGGCGGGAUAGCAAGUCAGAUGGGAAAUCCUAUGGCUUAAACAUAGAAAUGCAUUUGAAACUGUUAUUCUAUGGUAUGGGAGAGGUG